CUUAUGAGAAAAAAUAUGAGUAUUUUUUUAUUAUAUAAAUUAGAUUUUUAGAGGACCUGGUUCGACUUUCGGAAAUCUUUUCUUUCCCCUUGGAAAUAUUUAUCAUGGGGUCCGUACUUGUCCGUCAAUUCCCCAAGUGGCUGAGCGAAACAAGACCUGUCACAGGCUGCCCAUUUCUGCGGAAGGGUCAGUUAGAUGGUGGACAGCAGGGCGCAAUGAGUAGGCCACAUGAAUAUAUUUGUUCUGGAAGACCCAAAAAUCGAAUUUGGUCUUCCAAAGUAGAAUAUCAAAGCAUUUUCGCCUGCAAUCGUCCUCCACAAUUCGGCUGACACCUCUACAAGGUGAGCAGCUUGUGGAAGGGCGUGUUUCGCCCCGCCACUUAGUAAUUUUACUGAGUGGAAAGUGGCGUCGUCUGUUGACAAAAAAAAAAAAAAAAAUUUAUUAGAUUAGGAAUGACCAUCAUUUUAUGAAUUACGGUUCAGUUGUUAUCGGUAAUAACAACUAGAGAGAAAUUAUGGAUAAACUGGUACUGGCCUGAAAAUGGUAAUUUACGGCGCUGCGCACAAACACAACUAAAGAUAAGGUUAAAUUUCCUUUUAUUUAUUUACAGUUAUCUAUACACCCGAUACGUUGUUUAAUUGUUAAUCCCAUCUUAAAGUGCUCGGAGAUUUUUCUAUCGAUGAUUCCUAAAAAUUUCGCCAUUCUUUAUUCUUCGUCAACUAUAUAUAAUAUCAUUUCUCUCUCAAUUUAUCCUUUGUUUUCCAAAUUUAUGUGGCUGAGAUAAUUAUGUUGUGGUCAUUUAUAAAUGUUAUCACUAUCACUUUUUAUAUUACCGAUUUGGGAAGGAAAAGAAUUUUAUAUUUGUAGAAUUUUUAAAAAUGAAACAAUUUGAAGACAGCCGAUUAUUAAAAACAUUUCUUUUAGUUGUUAAAAUUCUCCCGCCAUAUUAUUAUUUUCAAAAUGAAGUUUUUCGAUUUAAAAAAAAUGCCGGUAUGAGCAGGUCCGCCGUAUUUUUGCCGUGGCCGCGCUAAAGUAUCCCGGGAACCGAAUAUUUAUCUUUCCUCAGAUCCCUUCAGAAAAAAUCCCGCUCUUUCGCUUCGAUUCCAUCGGGAAUGACCGGAGAGAUAGUAAUCGUUUAAAGAUGUUAAAAGUGGUGGUGGUGCGCAACAAAUGAGUUAGUAGGAUGGAGAAAGUUGAAAGUAUUAGUGACCCCGUAGCUAACAUUAUUUUACGAAAAACCCUACUGUUAUCACCCGAAAUCUAAACUGUUCGGCUAAAAACUGAUUCUCGACGGUUCCGUCAAUCUUUUUCUUAGUCAAUAGACGAAGCCAUUUUCCACGCUGGAAGAAUACUAAGUGGCGGCCUUUUCCACCUCGUCCCAGGGAUGGGCCGCUGUAAAUAUUUUCCAGAGGUGGAACUCGGGUCUCCACCCUGGAAAGCCCGAGCGUUGGCGGGCGACUCAUCCGACCCACCCCAUAAAUCCUACUAACGAUGUUUUUUCUUCUAUAGUAUGGAAAAAAUAAAACCAGUUUUUGUUUAAAAGAACACAUCAUUGUAUAGUUUAUAAGCAGAAGGAAUUUUUCUUUUAAUAAUAAAAUAUUUAUAGGAAUGGUUUGAUAUUUCCGGUCGGAUCCAUUUUGGAGGAAUUUUCUAUGGUCCACUGCCAACCGACGGGAUGUAUUUGACCGGUUGAUGGUCGGUAGAAUAAAUAUAUUCCAGAAAUUAAUCAUUCGUAGGGAAUAACAUCUCCCGUCUGACCGACGAGUUUUUAAUGCGUUUAAAAUUUCGUUGGCCAAACGCGUACGGGGUAGCCAGACCGCCAAAAAGGCCACGGACUGUAACGGAUCCGACGGGCUAAUCUCUCUCCUACCGAAGGACGCUACCAUCCGCCUUUUCGAUUUAUACCAUUAGCUAUAAUAAUUCUUAUAGAGAUUUGCCGACAUUUUUACCAUUUCCCAAUACGGCCGGUUUAAAUCCCGGUAGUUUAGCCGGUCUAAUAUAUUAAAUACUUUGGCCGACCUUCUUUCUAGUCGAGAAAAUUUUAUGAACGGUAUCCGAAUAAAUUUGAAAACUUAGCUGUUAAAAUGAGGCGCUUUACCAGCCUCUGGGACCAGCGCUUCAGUUUAGUUAUAGCAGUCGACCGGAAAUUGGCCGGAGCUUUCUUAUUUUGUUUGGUCGAGUUCCGUCAGCUUUAGUAUUAUCGGCCACCACCGGCAGUAUAGAAGAAGGUGGCAUUUAGAUAUUCUCCAAUAUUAAAGGGGAGAAGAGAAUCCGGUAGGCCGACCAUGGCUUUGGUACAGACUUAGCUAGCGGCCUUUGGUCGGGUGCCUAUUUAAAGCCCGGUGUCUUUAAAUUUGAGAUGAUGUCUACGGGCUCAUUGUGGCCGAAACAUUUGACUCGAGUAAUCGGCCUAACAAAACUCGAAAACCAAUCCUCUUUACCAUCUGGAGCCUUUCCGUGCCUGGGCCGAAACCACCUCUAGCCAACUACCCGUUACCGUUAACUUACAGGAAGAAAAUUUCCUAGCAGGCACCAAAAAUAACCUAUCCACUUAUAGUAAAAGCAGAAAUCUACAGCCUCUAUCGUCGGUAGAGAUAGUAGUAGUUUGGUUUAGGCCUUUCCUCCCAUUCUGGGGAUAUACGCCACCUGUAGAGCCACCACCGGAUCGUGCGGAAGGUCGAAAGACGGGACCGGUAGUGGUUAAAAGAACAUCAGAUUUAUGGAUUACCAAAUUUUAAUAAAAAUUCCGAAUUUUUAAACAUUAAUUUCAAAAAAACGGCUUGGGCCAAAAAAGAAACCUGUACUAAAUGUGUAAAUUGCUAAUGGGAGAAAAUAAUUAGAAUUUUCAAAAGAAUAAUUAUCAAAAUCUGAUAGCCAGUAACAUAUUUAAUAAAUACGAAUUCUUUCUAAAGAAAGUCGCUUAAUCUUUCUAAUAAAGAAGUUCAUUUUUUUCAUUUGGUCUUAGCCACUUCCGGGGGCUACUCCAUCCCGGACCUAAGCCGAUGGCAUCCCAUCGGGCCCCGCCCCCAACCAAAAUGAAAUGGCUAAUAAAUCGAAAAUAACGGUUUACUACUGGGCUUUUACACCACAACUAUCCAGGCGGCCGGAUGGCCGAGUGGUAACGCUGUCGGCGUGCCAUGCAGGAGUUCGAGUCCCGGGUCAGGUAACUCUCGAAAAGUAUUUUCGGGGUGCUGGGCCCGGCCGGGCGAUUCCCGUCCUUCACCAUCCGGCUCCCCUCCACGGGUGUGGGUGCAGCCCGUGGUUGCAACUGGCCCCGCUCGUUAGUAAC
Molecule: long non-coding RNA, 3289 nt
Filed under: Androctonus crassicauda
Lineage: Eukaryota; Metazoa; Arthropoda; Arachnida; Scorpiones; Buthidae
Source: RNAcentral